Molecule: ribosomal RNA, 454 nt
Filed under: uncultured bacterium
Lineage: Bacteria
Description: bacterial SSU rRNA
Rfam family: Bacterial small subunit ribosomal RNA
Source: RNAcentral
AUUGAACGCUGGCGGAAUGCUUUACACAUGCAAGUCGAGCGGCAGCGCGGGGCAACCUGGCGGCGAGCGGCGAACGGGUGAGUAAUACAUCGGAACGUGCCCAGACGUGGGGGAUAACUACUCGAAAGAGUGGCUAAUACCGCAUACGAUCUACGGAUGAAAGCGGGGGAUCGCAAGACCUCGCGCGUCUGGAGCGGCUGAUGGCAGAUUAGGUAGUUGGUGGGAUAAAAGCCUACCAAGCCAACGAUCUGUAGCUGGUCUGAGAGGAUGAUCAGCCACACUGGGACUGAGACACGGCCCAGACUCCUACGGGAGGCAGCAGUGGGGAAUUUUGGACAAUGGGCGAAAGCCUGAUCCAGCCAUUCCGCGUGCAGGAUGAAGGCCCUCGGGUUGUAAACUGCUUUUGUACAGAACGAAAAAGACUCUGGCUAAUACCUGGAGUCCAUGACGGUAC